ACAUCUCAAGGCCUGUCUGCUUUUGAUAGGUAUUGGAUUUUGGGAGUUGCAGGCUGUUUCAGAUAUAGCUUGCUCUCCUUGAAUGUAUUAGUGGAGAAAGAAAAGCUGUUGAACUCCAAUUGGUGUGAUAAAAUCUGUCAAUGCCAGGAGCAACGUCGAGUUGUCUCUGCUGUCUAACCCUAACUUCUGACCC
RNAcentral lists this unclassified non-coding RNA (193 nucleotides) under uncultured Amanita. Its description in RNAcentral is "sequence contains ITS2". The record is from RNAcentral. Lineage: Eukaryota; Fungi; Basidiomycota; Agaricomycetes; Agaricales; Amanitaceae.